Molecule: ribosomal RNA, 494 nt
Filed under: uncultured bacterium
Lineage: Bacteria
Description: partial 16S ribosomal RNA
Rfam family: Bacterial small subunit ribosomal RNA
Source: RNAcentral
GACGAACGCUGGCGGCGUGCUUAACACAUGCAAGUCGAACGGUGAAGCGCCUUCCUUUUUGGUGGGUGUGGAUGAGUGGCGAACGGGUGAGUAACACGUGAGUAACCUGCCCCCUUCUUCUGGAUAACCGCAUGAAAGUGUGGCUAAUACGGGAUAUUCUGGGUCUGUCGCAUGAUGGGUCUGGGAAAGAUAUUGUUUCGGUGGGGGAUGGGCUCGCGGCCUAUCAGCUUGUUGGUGGGGUGAUGGCCUACCAAGGCGGUGACGGGUAGCCGGCCUGAGAGGGUGGCCGGUCACACUGGGGCUGAGACACGGCCCAGACUCCUACGGGAGGCAGCAGUGGGGAAUAUUGCACAAUGGGCGCAAGCCUGAUGCAGCGACGCCGCGUGAGGGAUGGAGGCCUUCGGGUUGUGAACCUCUUUCGCCAGUGAAGCAGGCCUGCCUCGUUUGUGGGUGGGUUGACGGUAGCUGGAUAAGAAGCGCCGGCUAACUACGUG